CACUAUAUAUAAAGAGCCGCGGCUCACCAAAGCCACACAGACACAGCAUAGGCAUGGACUGCUCAGAUGAAACCGCAACUCACGCCUUGUGGUGUCCAACUGUUCCUGAAGUCCAAACAGCGCAUUGGGCAUGGUCGCUGUCCGAGGUGCUGAAGGAAAGGGCCAAUUGGAUUCCAGACAGUUUUACCAUUUUUUUCCGGUGGAUAAAUAUAUAUUUUUUGUUGUUUUGUUUUCAAUAACUGUUUUUCAUUUAUUGAUGGACAAAUAUAAGAGAAUAAAAUCUUACACCGCUAGGAAUAAUGAUGAUGAUGAUAGUUCUAAGGGAAUAACAUUUGCUUUGUUGUAUUGACGUAUGAAUCAUUUAUUAAAGAGCCAUCUACAGAUUAUUCUCUUCAGUCUCCAUCCCAGACGCCGCUUUAUUUCCUCUGAUCUCAGUAGUGUGCCAACAACAUUACGAAUAUUUGCUAAACGGUUCUCAUGAAGCCCUGUGCACUGUGAAUGUUUGCAAGUUGGGUAAGAUAUUGAGCAGUAUAAUGAGAUGCCCAUAGCGAUUUCCCUACACGCGCAAAGGCAGCAGAUGUAGGCGUAGUAGUCCCACGGGAUGCGAUCCGGAAUUUCAUCAGCGGUCGGGGUGACCCGAACCUCCUCCAGUUGGGAACUGGGUGGCGGUCGGACAUGGUAAAUCAUCCUUACUACGGAGAAUAGGCCAAUUAUCGGUCUCCUGAAAAUCCAGUGAAUCCAUUAAAAAAAAGUAUGAGCUG
This is a long non-coding RNA of Salvelinus sp. IW2-2015, 761 nucleotides long. RefSeq lists it as uncharacterized. The record is from RefSeq and is a predicted model, not a curated record. Lineage: Eukaryota; Metazoa; Chordata; Actinopteri; Salmoniformes; Salmonidae.